Drosophila suzukii is the source of this 653-nucleotide non-coding RNA. The record is from RefSeq and is a predicted model, not a curated record. Lineage: Eukaryota; Metazoa; Arthropoda; Insecta; Diptera; Drosophilidae.
GCGCCGCGGAAACUAUGCUCUACCAGUCAUGUAUUGGUAGAGCUCGCAUGGAAACGCGGCCCUCAAAGGAACAUGCGCGAUGCGCGUGUGUAUGGUCACCUAAUUCUGAGGAGCUCAAGGGGAAAAGAAGGGACAGGCCAAAAAGGCAAACAACGAGGACAAAUAAGGCUCUCGAGUCUAACUCCGGAUAAAUUCACAAACAGGGAACCACUGUUGGGCCGGGCCUGGAGGCGAUGAUAGCCCGGGCUGAUGACUUCCAGCCGGAGGCCAGCAGCGAUACAGGUCUCCAGGAAAGAAAACUGGCGCUCUCCGGUGAGUUAUGCAAGGGCAGUCUGAGGUUCGGCCGCCCGACAAAAUGGCGGUACCUCUCAACGCCGCGAUGCGACGGCUGGAAGUCCCCGAGAUGAGGUGGACGCGGUACACCGGAACGGACUCACCGGGAAAUGUUUGAUGUCGUCGGCGUCGACUGCGAAGACUGCUUUUCUGGGUGGUCGUCGGUACGGGUCGAACGGCCACCGGUUGCUGGGCAGCCAAGUCGGGCUGGUAGGUAUGGCGAAGUCGCGCAAAUGUCAGUAGAACUCCAAAUAAAUAUUCCGGGGCCCUUUGUGUUGGGACCCCGGCUGCCUUUAUAAAUGAUAAAUAUUAAAUACCGA